Long non-coding RNA from Pogoniulus pusillus (Red-fronted tinkerbird), 1241 nucleotides. RefSeq lists it as uncharacterized. The record is from RefSeq and is a predicted model, not a curated record. The transcript is spliced from 2 exons. NCBI's taxonomy places the organism in Eukaryota, Metazoa, Chordata, Aves, Piciformes, Lybiidae.
CACAAAAGUGCGGCGGGGCGGCGGGGCUGGGUCCCGCCUGCCUCCCGCCCCGGCUUCUCGUACGGAGGAGAAUGACUGGCGGUCCCAGCCCCCGCCGCGGUUGAGGUCAUGCUAAAGGAGUGACAUCGCGCUGCAGGAACAGAACAACGACAUCCACUGGCGGCUCAGCCAGAGACACGCACACGGCCGCGGGGAGGGCGGGGGUGGUGGGGGGAGAGGGAUGGGAGAGGGACGGAGCCCGCCCCGAGGCGCUGUGGAUGGGCCCCUCUCCUCCCCACAGCUCUAUGCCCCCUCUGUGCCGGCGCCCCAUCAGCUGGGGAUGCUCCGUGGGCACGGGGUGGGGAAAUCGGGGAGGAGAGGUCGGGAAAAGUCCCCACUCCUACCCACGGGAGGGACAGGAGCGGGUCCUCUCCCAGCUUCUCGCUGCUGGCCUUCCCUUCUCUUCCAGCCCUGACCUCCUCAUUUGGAUCGGGAAGGGGUGGCCGGGACAGAGCUAUGGUCCAGUGCAGGGCCCCAGAGCCCACCUGGCACCGGCCCCCCUUCCUCGACAUGGAGCCUUCACCCCCAGGAAAGAAAACUCGAUGUCUGGGAAGUUGAACUGGGGGAAACCUCGAGCCCUUGGACACGACAGAGGAACUGUGAGGCCUGGCGACCCCUGGCAGGUCUGCAGCUUGUCGACGCUCCCCUUAAAGCCAACAAGAGUUUAAAGGUAGACCCUUUUCCUGCAUCAGGCCGUACCCCAGCCCGGGUCUGCUCUUCAUUCCCACCUCAGGGAACCCCAAGUAAGGGCAGGUAGCCCCUCGACGGUUGCUUCCCUUGGAUCCGCUCCGGCUCGGCUCUACCCUGAGCGAUGCCGGCCGAUGUGCCAGUCCCGGGGCACGGUACUGAGACCCCGAAGAGAUCAUCCCUGAAGGGAACAGAGAGGUUUGCCUCCCGCGGCUCCCGGCCGCCCUGCUCGCUGCCUUCCCUCUCUCCUUCAUUAAAAGGGCACUUUUAUUUUUCCAACGGAGGUGCCCUCUCCCGGAGAGCUGCCCACGCUGUGUCACUCAAUCAGCCGGGUCUUGGCACGGUGGCACGGUCCCCUCCCCGGGGAGCUCUGGCGGGGCGGCCCGAGGGGACGGGGGCUGCCCGGGCAGCGGCGAGCCCUGGACCGUCCUCCGCCCCCUCCCCUUCGCCCGCCCCUCUCCCCGCUUUGAAUUCUUUGCCACCGAGCUGAAUAAAAGUGGUUGUUGUAAAUUGAA